CUUGUACUCCCUUCGUCCGGAAAUACUUAUCGAAGAAAUGAAUGAAUAUAGAUGUAUUUUAGUUAUAGAUAUAUCUAAUUUUAUUCAUCUAUCCGAUAAGUAUUUCGGGACGGAGGAAGUAGUAU
Molecule: non-coding RNA, 125 nt
Organism: Triticum urartu
Lineage: Eukaryota; Viridiplantae; Streptophyta; Magnoliopsida; Poales; Poaceae
Source: Rfam